This 119-nucleotide ribosomal RNA is filed under the name Anolis carolinensis (green anole). Lineage: Eukaryota; Metazoa; Chordata; Lepidosauria; Squamata; Anolidae. The record is from RNAcentral.
AAUAAUAAUAAUAAUACCUUUGAGGCAUCAAAUCCUGUCUGAUCUUGGAAGCUAAGCAUGGUCUGCCCUGGUUAGUACUUGGGUGGGAGACUGCCAACGAGUAACAGGCACUGUAGGAU